CAGUAUUCUGACUGUGCUAAGGUAGCAUAAUCAUUAGUCUUUUAAUUGGAGGCUGGUAUGAAUGACGAGACGAGAAAAUGACUGUCUCUAUAAUAAACUUUGAAUUUCAUUUCUGAGUGAAAAAGCUCAGAUAAUUUUGAAGGACGAUCAGACCCUUUGGAGCUUUAUUUACUUUAAAAAUUUGAAUUUGUUUUAAUUGAUUGAAUGGAAAGUAAAUUUUGUUGGGGCGACAGGGAGUAAAAUAUAACACUCUUUUUUUAAAACAAUCCUAAUUGGAAAAUUGAUCCUUAGAGUGAGAUUAUAAGACUAAGUUACCCUAGGGAUAACAGCGUAAUCUUUUUGGAGAGUUCAAAUCGAUAAAAAGGUUUGCGACCUCGAUGUUGGAUUAAGAGAUUGGCAAGGUGCAGAAGUUUUGCUGGAAAGUCUGUUCGACUUUUAAUCUCUUACAUG
This 450-nucleotide ribosomal RNA is filed under the name Daphnia magna. Its description in RNAcentral is "partial 16S ribosomal RNA". It matches the Rfam family "Bacterial large subunit ribosomal RNA", at positions 1934 to 2602 of the family's 2925-position model. Lineage: Eukaryota; Metazoa; Arthropoda; Branchiopoda; Diplostraca; Daphniidae. The record is from RNAcentral.